CACGUAGGGCGCAAGCGUUGUCCGGAAUUAUUGGGCGUAAAGAGCUCGUAGGCGGUUCGAUAAGUCGGAUGUGAAAUCUCCACGCUCAACGUGGAGAGGCCAUUCGAUACUGUCGUGACUCGAGUCCGGUAGGGGAGUGUGGAAUUCCCGGUGUAGCGGUGAAAUGCGCAGAGAUCGGGAGGAACACCCGUAGCGAAGGCGGCACUCUGGGCCGUGACUGACGCUGAGGAGCGAAAGCGUGGGGAGCGAACAGG
This 254-nucleotide ribosomal RNA is filed under the name uncultured bacterium. RNAcentral's name for it is "partial 16S ribosomal RNA". It matches the Rfam family "Bacterial small subunit ribosomal RNA", at positions 524 to 776 of the family's 1533-position model. The record is from RNAcentral.